UACAGAGGGGGCAAGCGUUAUUCGGAAUUAUUGGGCGUAAAGGGCGCGUAGGCGGCUUUUCAAGUGGCGGGUGAAAGCCCUCGGCUUAACCGAGGAACUGCCUGCCAGACUGAAUGGCUUGAGACCGGGAGAGGUGAGUGGAAUUCCCAGUGUAGCGGUGAAAUGCGCAGAUAUCAGGAAGAACACCCGUGGCGAAGGCGGCUCUCUGGGACGGUACUGACGCUGAGACGCGAAAGCGUGGGGAGCGAACAGG
This 253-nucleotide ribosomal RNA is filed under the name uncultured bacterium. Its description in RNAcentral is "partial 16S ribosomal RNA". It matches the Rfam family "Bacterial small subunit ribosomal RNA", at positions 524 to 776 of the family's 1533-position model. The record is from RNAcentral.